RNAcentral lists this ribosomal RNA (441 nucleotides) under uncultured bacterium. RNAcentral's name for it is "bacterial SSU rRNA". It matches the Rfam family "Bacterial small subunit ribosomal RNA", at positions 958 to 1398 of the family's 1533-position model. The record is from RNAcentral.
AACGCGAAGAACCUUACCAGGGCUUGACAUCCCUUGAUCGCUGCAGAAAUGCAGUUUCCAUAGCAAUAUGGCAGGGUGACAGGUGCUGCAUGGCUGUCGUCAGCUCGUGUCGUGAGAUGUUGGGUUAAGUCCCGCAACGAGCGCAACCCUCGUCGUCUGUUGCCAUCAUUUAGUUGGGCACUCAGUCGAGACCGCCGUUGAUAAGACGGAGGAAGGUGGGGAUGACGUCAAGUCAGCAUGGCCCUUACGUCCUGGGCCACACACGUGCUACAAUGGCCGGUACAACGGGCAGCGAGAUCGCGAGAUCAAGCGAAUCCCUUAAAACCGGUCUCAGUUCGGAUUGCAGGCUGCAACUCGCCUGCAUGAAGUCGGAAUCGCUAGUAACCGCAGAUCAGCUACGCUGCGGUGAAUACGUUCCCGGGCCUUGUACACACCGGAGUA